Molecule: non-coding RNA, 563 nt
Filed under: Dictyocaulus viviparus (bovine lungworm)
Lineage: Eukaryota; Metazoa; Nematoda; Chromadorea; Rhabditida; Metastrongylidae
Description: Eukaryotic large subunit ribosomal RNA
Rfam family: Eukaryotic large subunit ribosomal RNA
Source: Rfam by way of RNAcentral
UCAUCACGUGGGUUAAGAGCAGUAACCUUAUGGCCAUACGACUCUCUCCUAAAACAGUUCCAGUCAAAUAGUUGUUGGUAGUUGACUUCGACGGUACAUUCAUCAUGGUGUAAUUUAGGUGUUUUAAGUUUGUUUAUAAAGAGCGAAAACCUGUGUUUGAGUGAAAGGUUAGAAGCUUGCUUUAUCUUGAUUUUUAAAACGAGUACAUACAGUGAAAAUUUAGCCUACCGAUUCUUUUCAUCUAGAUGGUUUUUGGCAAGAAGUGUUAGAAAAGUUAUUACAUAGAUAACUUGCUUGUAGCUUAUUCAGUGUCCAUAGUAACGUUGCUUUGUGAUUCUUUGAUGUCGGAUAUUCUUAUCAUUGCAAAGUAAAAUCCGCUAGAUGUUGGAUUGUGACUUCAACGGAUUUUGACCGAUAUGAUGCUAGUCCUUUGCUCGCUUUGCCUUACUGUUAAUUAAUUGUUAAUCUCGAUAGCAAUCCUGCAUAGUACGGACCAAACAGCAAAUUUAGACAUUUGGUUCGUAGACUUUAGGGAUCGGCUAAUAGUUUGAAGCUGACGUUUG